UACGUAGGGUGCAAGCGUUAAUCGGAAUUACUGGGCGUAAAGCGUGCGCAGGCGGUGAUGUAAGACAGAUGUGAAAUCCCCGGGCUCAACUUGGGAACUGCAUUUGUGACUGCAUCGCUGGAGUGCGGCAGAGGGGGAUGGAAUUCCGCGUGUAGCAGUGAAAUGCGUAGAUAUGCGGAGGAACACCGAUGGCGAAGGCAAUCCCCUGGGCCUGCACUGACGCUCAUGCACGAAAGCGUGGGGAGCAAACGGG
RNAcentral lists this ribosomal RNA (253 nucleotides) under uncultured bacterium. RNAcentral's name for it is "partial 16S ribosomal RNA". It matches the Rfam family "Bacterial small subunit ribosomal RNA", at positions 524 to 776 of the family's 1533-position model. The record is from RNAcentral.